This 253-nucleotide ribosomal RNA is filed under the name uncultured bacterium. Its description in RNAcentral is "partial 16S ribosomal RNA". It matches the Rfam family "Bacterial small subunit ribosomal RNA", at positions 524 to 776 of the family's 1533-position model. The record is from RNAcentral.
UACGAAGGGUGCUAGCGUUGUUCGGAAUCACUGGGCGUAAAGCGCGCGUAGGCGGCUUAGCAAGUCAGGGGUGAAAGCCCACAGCUCAACUGUGGAAUUGCCCUUGAAACUGCUAAGCUUGAGUGUCGGAGGGGAUAGCGGAAUUGCUAAUGUAGAGGUGAAAUUCGUAGAUAUUAGCAGGAACACCGGUGGCGAAGGCGGCUAUCUGGACGACAACUGACGCUGAGGCGCGAAAGCGUGGGGAUCAAACAGG